Lagopus muta (rock ptarmigan) is the source of this 2682-nucleotide long non-coding RNA. RefSeq lists it as uncharacterized. NCBI's taxonomy places the organism in Eukaryota, Metazoa, Chordata, Aves, Galliformes, Phasianidae. The record is from RefSeq and is a predicted model, not a curated record. The transcript is spliced from 4 exons.
CUCUCCUAGACCUCAUUUAAGGGCUGACUGCCCCAUGGGAAGGCUGUGUGGUUGGAGAUCCUUUCUUUGUGGAGUUUCCUUUCUGAGCCUGGAUCUUCAGGCACAGCCCUGCUUUUGGGGAGUGAUUUUUGAGAUCUCUGCAGUCUUGGUCGCCACUUGGUUCUACAACCCCAACCCCACUGAUUUGCUUGGGAUGUUAUUUUCAGACAUCUCUCGGUUGCAUUUUAACCUUGGAAUUUACAGUGCUUCGUAAGUCAAUCCUACAUUGACUGGAUUGAUAGAGACUGUAAAACAGCAUUGUUAUUUCAUGGUCGAUUGUUGACCAUGUUUACUAGUUGUAGCAGUUGUCACUGGACAGUGCGGAACUUUUCAGAUGUGACCUGGAAAAUGAGUCAUUUUUUGGCAUGAGCAGAAAAAGCUGAGUUACUGGGAUCAUUCACAGUGAUACAGGUUGAACUUUGGGACUUCGGAAGCCAUCUUGGAAGAGGUUAAAUGAUGCCAUGAGAAAUUCUGGCCAGCAUACAGCCUUUCUAAAAGCUCUGCUUUCUUUAGCCACGAACUCAUUUGCUUUGUAGCUUUCUGUUCACCUUUAGUGUCUGAUUUCGUAGUCGGUGAAGUUCAGCAGCAGAACUCAGACCACAUCUGUUGUGCCACUCAUACUUCAAAAGGACAUGAAAUAGCUUUCACAUCUCCACCUCCCUACUAAAAUCUCUCCUACCUUUUGGUUUCUUGCAUUAGAAGGGAAGGAAUGUGCCUGAAACAGUCGGUUUUUUCUUCUUUUCAUAUUGUUUGAUGCAUGAUGAGCUUGGCUAUCUGAUCUCAUUGUGUUACUGAAUAUGGCUUCAUUAGCCACAAAAAGUGCUAUCUACAAGGAAGAAAAUAUGCCCUCUGCUGACUUCGUAUGCGGCUAGAAUUUAAAAAGCUGCUGUCAGAGUACCACGAUGGAACUAUUGUUUGCAAAUAAAGCAAAUUAAAAUAAACAUCUUUUAUCAUAAGAAAGCAAUUAGUGUUGAUUCGCAGCUUUGCUUGGUUUUUCUUUCCUGACCUUGACUACAUCGUGAUGGUUUUGUGCUUCCUCGGACAGCUUCCACUGCAUCUGCAUCGAUUAAACCUUGAUCUCAUUUAUUAUCUCAGGAAAUGGUCUCAAGGUCACAGGGCUGGAAAUUUAAUUAUGGUGGCAGUAUAUUAAGUGGCACAUUUAAAGAUGCUGAAUCGCAGUAAUUAAUUUUUUGGAUGGUGGUCUCUAGGGAACAGGUUUUCUCCACACUGGGUGUUUAGACAUCCAUCAUGGCCAUUCAGCUUGGCAGCUGUCUUUUAGCUUUAAACUGUGUCAUUAUUCAUCUUUUACGGCUGACUUUAAAAACACUAGACAACUAUAUUCUUUUUUAUUGUAAUAUAUGUCAGAUGCUUGUAUUAAGCUAUACUUCACCUUUGCUAUAAAACAUUAACAGAGGUUGCUAGUAGUUACCUGGCUGGCCUCUAAAUUGAGAUAACAAUUACCCUUCGCUGACAUCUAGUGUCAAGGCAUGAGAUAUAGCUGGAGUGCUGAAUCCAUUGGCCUGGAAAUCCUGCGCUUCCCCAGUGAUUCAAGCUCACCCGUGAAGCUACAGCACUGGACGUAAUUAGUGGACACGAGGGAUUAAGUUGGCACUCGGUGUUGACUUUGUAGCAGCACUAGGUUAUUGAAUGAAAUGCAGCACUGCCAAGGUCUUAAAAAUCUUGUAAUGUUUAAUGAAGGAAUGGUCAUUAAACUUGCUGGAUCAAAUAUUAGGCAAGAUGGAACUGGGAGGUAUUUAAUAAGGGGUCUGAAAAUAUGAACUAAAUCACAUCCACUCAUUUACAAAGCUGGCAAAAGUCCAGUCUUUCAAAAUUCUUCACUGCUGUUUUAAGGUAGGUGGUAUUGGACUGGGGAGGGAGAACAGUGAGCAGGUUUUAGCUUCUAAUGUAACUUCAUUGAAAAUUCUUCUACUGUAAAAUUAUUUUUCUUGAAUGAAAUAUUGUUUUCAUGCUGCUCAGACUGCAAAUGAAUUUUCUCUAGGGACUGUGAAGGUGCUAAAGUUCUCAUUGUGAGCAAUGUUCACAGGUUGAUGUGAGGUCUUUCACACCCUUUGUCAAAUUGAAUAUUUCAGGUCUCUGAGUGACCUAGUCUACAAACAUGUUACUGAAGUUGAGUGAACUGCAUGUGCUAUAUGGCUAUGCACGUAGCCAACCAAAGCAGAGCAAAUCAGGGCUCGCUACACCUGUAAGAACAGGAUAGUCCAAAUGUUUGGGUUUUUUUACAUGGCUUUUUCAAUAAAUCCAGAGUGCAUUGGAUUUUUUUUUGAAGAAAAAUAUGCCACAAUAUAAAAAAUCGGAGUUAAAAGCAGUAUUUGAGGGAGGUUUAUAUUUGGAGCUUAGCAAAUAAUUACCCGAAAAUAUAAUGAGGGUGUAUCAAGCUUGUGUUUUCUUCCUUGUUGUGCCUCAUUUUAAAUAAUCUAUGUAUGUGAAUAUUCACAAUGGAAUGCAGAGUAGCCAUAUAAAAAGCUGGGAUUUUGGAACACGAGGGGAGGAGAGAACAUAGCUUACAUCACCACUGCCUGGAGAGUGAUGGGUGUGUAAUAAAUAAUCCAUAGGUUAGGAUAAGUUUGUGCGAGUGAUUAGGCAAGCAGCUGUGCACAAUAAGUAGAUAAACAGGAAAGAAAA